GAGAUACUCACUCCGUCCGGAAUACGUUGUCAUUCAAAUGAAUAAAAAUGAAUAUAUCUAAAAUUAAAAUACAUCUAGAUACAUUCAUUUCUAUGACAAAUAUUUUCGGACGGAGGGAGUAUGUG
Molecule: non-coding RNA, 125 nt
Organism: Hordeum vulgare subsp. vulgare (domesticated barley)
Lineage: Eukaryota; Viridiplantae; Streptophyta; Magnoliopsida; Poales; Poaceae
Source: Rfam